Molecule: long non-coding RNA, 306 nt
Organism: Ctenocephalides felis (cat flea)
Lineage: Eukaryota; Metazoa; Arthropoda; Insecta; Siphonaptera; Pulicidae
Exons: 3
Source: RefSeq, a predicted model, not a curated record
AAAAAGACUUCUUAAAAUAAAAGUGAGUGUAGUGGUAAUAAAAUUCGCGUUGUUAAAAUCAAAGUGCAAAUAAAAUAAAUUUUGCAUAAUUUCGCGUAAAACAAAGUGUGUGUGUGAGUGAACAAUUUGAACAAUUUGACUCUGUGCAAUUUUGCGAAGAAAUGCUGACAUCCAUGCAGCCUGAGGAAUUCUAUGGAGAGCUUGAUAUUAUGCGCCUGGAGAAAAACUUGAGCAACCAGAAACGCUUGGGAAAAACUUACGCAACUAAACACAGGCAGACGAAUUCUUGGAUACAGCUGGAUGCAA